GCCCCGGUAGCUCAGUGGAUAGAGCGACCCCCUCCUAAGGGGUAGGCCACACGUUCGAUUCGUGUUCGGGGCACCA
This 76-nucleotide transfer RNA is filed under the name Thiobacillus sp. Its description in RNAcentral is "tRNA-Arg". It matches the Rfam family "tRNA". Rfam says of the family: Transfer RNA (tRNA) molecules are approximately 80 nucleotides in length. Their secondary structure includes four short double-helical elements and three loops (D, anti-codon, and T loops). Further hydrogen bonds mediate the characteristic L-shaped molecular structure. tRNAs have two regions of fundamental functional importance: the anti-codon, which is responsible for specific mRNA codon recognition, and the 3' end, to which the tRNAs corresponding amino acid is attached (by aminoacyl-tRNA synthetases). tRNAs cope with the degeneracy of the genetic code in two manners: having more than one tRNA (with a specific anti-codon) for a particular amino acid; and 'wobble' base-pairing, i.e. permitting non-standard base-pairing at the 3rd anti-codon position. Lineage: Bacteria; Pseudomonadati; Pseudomonadota; Betaproteobacteria; Nitrosomonadales; Thiobacillaceae. The record is from RNAcentral. RNAcentral also lists the same sequence under 6 other names.